AAGUCAUCGUUAAAUCUCAUUUCCUAUAGUAGACGUAUACGUUCUCCGUUUGUUGCUCCCACUAUUCCUGCAAAGAAUAUCCGUGACGAGCGACGGUUCGUUUCAGUUGGUUACGAGAACCGAACGGAACCGGUACCAGAGGAGCGAAUAGAACCUGUAACCGCUUCAAAAGAAGCUGAUUCGAAUAAUGUCGGCCACUCAGUACUAUCAUGUGCAGUGCACACCAACUGUCUAUUCUGCCGAUCCUUUCGACCCAGAAGAAGAUGCAGCUCUUCUACGAACUGCCAUGAAGGGUUUCGGCACUGAUGAACAGACAAUAAUCGAUGUCCUUGCUCAUCGUGGAAUUGUACAACGACUUGAAAUAGCUGACAAAUUUAAAACCAUGUAUGGAAAGGAUCUGAUUUCUGAGUUGAAAUCGGAACUUGGUGGUAAUUUUGAAAAGGCAAUUUUAGCAUUGAUGACACCGUUACCGGAAUAUUUCGCUAAAGAACUUCAUAAUGCGAUGUCUGGAAUUGGCACGGACGAAGGUGCUCUCAUCGAGGUGCUGGCAUCUCUUAGCAACUAUGGCAUCAAAACCAUAUCUGCUGUUUAUAAAGAAGUGUAUGGAACGGAUUUAGAGGAUGAUUUGAAAAGCGAUACUUCUGGCUAUUUUAAGAGGCUGUUAGUUUCACUUUCAUGCGCCAAUAGAGAUGAAAAUCCUCAAGUUGACGAACAAGCUGCAAUGCAAGAUGCCGAAAGAUUACUUGCAGCUGGUGAGGAACAAUGGGGAACAGACGAAAGUACUUUUAAUGCUAUUCUCAUUACGAAAAGUUUCCCUCAACUACGAAAAAUUUUUGAGGAAUAUGAACGCCUUGCUGGUCACAGCUUAGAAGAAGCUAUUAAGACAGAAUUUUCCGGAUCAGUCGAAGACGGCUAUCUUGCAGUUGUCAGGUGUGCACGAGAUAAAACUGCAUAUUUUGCGGAGAGAUUAUACAAAGCAAUGCGUGGAUUAGGUACAGAUGACUCGACAUUGAUACGCAUAAUCGUAGCUCGAUCGGAAAUCGAUUUAGGAGAUAUUAAGGAUACUUAUCAAAAAAUGUAUGGACAAUCGCUUGCAGGUGAUAUCGAUGAUGACUGUUCAGGAGACUACAAGAGACUCUUGCUUGCUCUACUUGGAUGAAAGCAUUUCAUGUUCAACAAUUCUUUUUAUUUUUAAAUCUUACUUUAACGCCAGGAAUAUAUCUUCGCAACAUUCCGCGAAGCUGUAUAGAUGUCUUAACUUUAAUUUGUUCUAAAUUACAUCAAUAAUUAGCAGUGAUUACGAGUGAUUGCACUGCUGAGUGGAAAAGACUUCUGAUUGCGAUGUUGAAUUAAAAAUAGAUUUAUUCGAUAAAAGUCGUUGAAACAAUACCCUUGUAUUACGAUAAAAAACAAACUACAUAUUCAUUGUAUAAGAUUGAGAAGUAAUUUGGAGUUUAAGGAAUAAAUUACCAAUGAUAUUAAAAAGUUAAGGAAUUUAAUGCAGCCCAAAUUUUCAACGGAUAUUAAUGUUAUAGCGCACAGAUUGUAAAAUAGAAUUAUUGAAUAACAUUUAGUAAUUAUGUUAGAUUGGUAAUAAUGAAAUAAUAAGAUAAUAAUAAGAAAAAUGGAAUAAUGGUAAUCGAGCAGCUGAAACGUGAGUGAUACAGAAUAAUUUUCAUAACGUUCGAUGUAUCUUAUUUAUUAAAUGUUUUUCCUAUUGUAGUAUAGAACCAAUGUUUAUUUCUCAAUACUCCACAGCAGAGUAUUCGACGACAGUUGUCGGAUUUGAGAAGUAUAAAAAAUAAAAUGAAAAUGAAGAGUAAUAGAAUUGCGUUUCAA
This is an RNA transcript of Bombus pascuorum, 1839 nucleotides long. It is a transcript of the gene named annexin B9-like, with no coding region annotated. NCBI's taxonomy places the organism in Eukaryota, Metazoa, Arthropoda, Insecta, Hymenoptera, Apidae. The transcript has 8 exons. The record is from RefSeq and is a predicted model, not a curated record.